AGUGAACGCUGGCGGUAGGCCUAACACAUGCAAGUCGAACGGCAGCACAGUAAGAGCUUGCUCUUACGGGUGGCGAGUGGCGGACGGGUGAGGAAUACAUCGGAAUCUGCUUUUUCGUGGGGGAUAACGUAGGGAAACUUACGCUAAUACCGCAUACGACCUACGGGUGAAAGCAGGGGAUCUUCGGACCUUGCGCGAUUGAAUGAGCCGAUGUUGGAUUAGCUAGUUGGCGGGGUAAAGGCCCACCAAGGCGACGAUCCGUAGCUGGUCUGAGAGGAUGAUCAGCCACACUGGAACUGAGACACGGUCCAGACUCCUACGGGAGGCAGCAGUGGGGAAUAUUGGACAAUGGGCGCAAGCCUGAUCCAGCCAUACCGCGUGGGUGAAGAAGGCCUUCGGGUUGUAAAGCCCUUUUGUUGGGAAAGAAAAGCAGCAGGUUAAUACCCCGCUGUUCUGACGGUACCCAAAGAAUAAGCACCGGCUAACUUCGUG
RNAcentral lists this ribosomal RNA (492 nucleotides) under uncultured bacterium. RNAcentral's name for it is "partial 16S ribosomal RNA". It matches the Rfam family "Bacterial small subunit ribosomal RNA", at positions 29 to 507 of the family's 1533-position model. The record is from RNAcentral.